GGCAGCUGCCCCUUUUGACCCACGUUAAAGAUGGCCCUGGCCCGUACAGUAUAUCAUGGGGGGAGAAGGCGCGGUUGGUGGGUUCCAACACCUGCGAUCAGAUAUUUAUUCCCUAUCUUGUACACAGAAGGCACUUUCGGCAGAGGACAGUGGGGCUGCGGUAGAGCUGGAGUGAUAGUGAAUUUGGGAGGAAAUGUGAAAAUGUAAAAGCAAUGGUGAAUAUGAGAUAUAAAUAACCUGUACUCAGGCAGCUUCAUUCACAACAACGCUCCACACACUCAAGAGCUUCAGCUUCAUCCUCUGGAAAUUACCAGACUAUUAUAAAGUAUCUGUGAGAAACAAAAGAAAACUACUUAAAAGAUGACUCAA
Molecule: long non-coding RNA, 369 nt
Organism: Hyla sarda
Lineage: Eukaryota; Metazoa; Chordata; Amphibia; Anura; Hylidae
Exons: 3
Source: RefSeq, a predicted model, not a curated record